This 254-nucleotide ribosomal RNA is filed under the name uncultured prokaryote. Its description in RNAcentral is "partial 16S ribosomal RNA". It matches the Rfam family "Bacterial small subunit ribosomal RNA", at positions 525 to 777 of the family's 1533-position model. The record is from RNAcentral.
ACGUAGGGGGCGAGCGUUGUCCGAAGUUACUGGGCGUAAAGCGCGCGUAGGCGGUUCUCUAAGUCUGUGGUGAAAGGUUCGGCGCUCAACGUGAACAGUGCCUUGGAGACUGGAGGACUUGAGUGUGGGAGGGGGCAGUGGAAUUCCUGGUGUAGCGGUGAAAUGCGUAGAUAUCUGGAGGAACACCGGUGGCGAAGGCGGCAUCCUGGACCGGUAUUGACGCUGAGGCGCGAAAGCCAGGGGAGCAAACGGGA